UUGCUCCAGGAGCACAUAUACUAAAACUGGAGUGAUACAGAGAUUAGCACAGCCCCUGUAUGAGGAUGACUUGCAAAUUCGUGAAGCAUUUCACAUUUGU
Molecule: small nuclear RNA, 100 nt
Filed under: Zalophus californianus (California sea lion)
Lineage: Eukaryota; Metazoa; Chordata; Mammalia; Carnivora; Otariidae
Source: RNAcentral